CUAGAUUAUAUGAUUCUUGAAGAAAAUCGUGCUUGAGUUUUAGAUAUGAGGGAGUCAUAUUUUCAAAAACAAAAACAGAAAAGGAAAUGAAUGGGUGAAAAGAAGCAAAUACUCUUUUCAAUAAAACCUUCACAUAAAACAUAUAUACCGUAUAAAUUCUAAAUUCUAACAAAAGGUCCGCUGUAGCACAUUGUCUAAAACAAACAUUCUAGUUUAAUAGUGGAUCAGAAUUCCGGGUUCGAAGCUCGGCAGCGGAAAAAAAAUUUUGGUGCUU
RNAcentral lists this small RNA (274 nucleotides) under Arabidopsis thaliana (thale cress). Its description in RNAcentral is "ATSL277110". Lineage: Eukaryota; Viridiplantae; Streptophyta; Magnoliopsida; Brassicales; Brassicaceae. The record is from RNAcentral.